RNAcentral lists this ribosomal RNA (113 nucleotides) under Pteropus alecto (black flying fox). RNAcentral also lists the same sequence under 1 other name. The record is from RNAcentral. Lineage: Eukaryota; Metazoa; Chordata; Mammalia; Chiroptera; Pteropodidae.
GUUUGUGCUACCCUGAACGUACCCGAUCUCGUCUGAUCUCGGAAGCUAAGCAGGGUCAGGCCUGGUUAGUACUUGGAUUGGAGACCACCUAGGAAUACCAGGUGCUGUAGGUG